AACGAACGCUGGCGGCGUGCUUAACACAUGCAAGUCGAACGCGAAGGGGAUCUUCGGAUCCCCCUAGAGUGGCGCACGGGUGAGUAACGCGUAGAUAAUCUACCUCUAUAUUUGGGAUAACAGCUCGAAAGGGCUGCUAAUACCGGAUACACUUAUUUGAACGCGAGUUUGAGUGAGGAAAGGUGACCUCUCCAUGGAAGUUACUGUAUAGAGAUGAGUCUGCGUACCAUUAGCUAGUAGGUAGGGUAAAGGCCUACCUAGGCAACGAUGGUUAGCGGGUCUGAGAGGAUGAUCCGCCACACUGGAACUGGAACACGGACCAGACUCCUACGGGAGGCAG
This 340-nucleotide ribosomal RNA is filed under the name uncultured Pseudomonadota bacterium. Its description in RNAcentral is "bacterial SSU rRNA". It matches the Rfam family "Bacterial small subunit ribosomal RNA", at positions 29 to 351 of the family's 1533-position model. Lineage: Bacteria; Pseudomonadati; Pseudomonadota. The record is from RNAcentral.